UGGAGUAAAGGCCUAUGCACACCCUAGAUACUCUCUAGCUUGAAAGUCCAGUUCCCUGAGAAUAGCAAGUACCACAGACCAACUUAGGAAACCUGACCCAGAAAAGUACUACAGCCACCCAUGGAAUCCAAGGCCUGGCCCAUAACUAAUUCUAGUAAGGAGGAGCCAAUAGAGCAUCAAGAGCUACUUCCGUUUGUGCUGCUGGACCAGUCACAAGACAUCCUGGAGGAAGAGGCCCCAGGUGCCAGCCUGUGGCCCGCCACUGUGACCUUCCUCACCCUCUUCCUACUGAGCUUGUUCUACAGUACAGCACUCACUGUUACAACCGUGCGAGGCCCGUUUGCCAGCAAAGAGGUCCCCCAGUACUGACCAGGAGCCAGCCACAGGAGACUGUCAUGGAGAUGAUGCCGUACAGGGCUGGGGCAGGGGCAUUCAGGAUUUACUCAGCCCCUCCACAUGUGUCCUUGCAACUCUUCACAGACAUUUAGGAAGCGUAAAGUAAUGAUGGCAGCACUUCCUGGAUCUAACCCAGUCUUCCAGAAGCCAGGCUGGGAACUCCGCCAAAGUGAAGAUGUAACCCAACUCCAGGAUACCCUCUGGCUGGUCGCUCUUGUCUUUGCAGGGAUGAAGCUCGGAGAAAGUCCUCUAUGCUUCAGAGCUAAGACCAAUGUGACAACUUCCCACCCCACGCACUUACUUUCCUGAGCAAUAAAUUGAUGCAAAAGCACAAUUUCUUACUCGGAAAAAAAAAAACAUUAACAAAGAAUUGGGGGAGGUGGAGGGGAUGGUGUGUUGGUGGGAUGCUAAAUAGUUUCUUACAUCAUAGAAUGUGUCUGUGUUGGCAGAGUAGACACAGAUUGCCCACUGUCUAGUGUCUGAGCCAUAACUUGAGCAUAUGUGUAGCCGCAGCCAAAGAUGAACACCAGCCUUGACAGGUGAUGGUGUUUGUGGCCUCUUUAGACCGCAUACCAGGUCAUUAAGCUUGACCUCUGGACCUGAUUUCUAAACAUUUGGCCUCUGUGAGCACCCUUGGCAAAUACUGAACCCUGGUCCUGGCUAGGAACCUUAGUCCUGAUCACUGAGCCCUAUUUUGGUAACUGAACCGUGAUCCUGAUCCCUGACUUCAGUCAUAAUCACGAGGCCCUGGUCCUGACCACUCAUAACUGGUCCCUAGUCCUGAGCCCUGUGCCUGGAUCUGGGUCAUUGAUUCCUGGUCAUGAUCACUGGAUUUGGUCCUCAUUACUGAGCCUAGAAUUGAUCACUGAUGACUGGUUUUGAUCAUUAACAACUAACCUGAUCACUAGUCCCUGCUUCUAACCACUCGGCCGAGAUACUGGUCACUGGGUCCUGACCUGAUCAUAGACCCCCCUGAUCCUGAUCACUAAAUCCUAUUUCUAAACAAUAUAUAGUGAAAUGUAUAGAAAAGUGUUUGUGUGGUCUGACUUUGAGUGAAAUGUUUCAGCAGAACUUUUGCUAUGUUUGGGUUAAUUCGUUGAGGCUGAGAAAUGGUUUUGAGGCUGUUUGAACCUUGAAGAAAUGUCUCUCUGGACAAUCUGCACAUGAGAGUUUGCAGCCACACAAGCCUUGGUCCUAAAACACUCCUAGAAAAAUUACAAUUCUUACUUUUGACUAUAGCUAGACUUGUGUGGGUGGCCUACUCUCUCUCAAAGCAAGGGCAAGAUAACUUUUGUAGUUGGAACCUUUCCCAGCCCCAAUUGACUCUAUAUGAUGUUUGAAUAAAGUAGCUGCAGUGAA
Long non-coding RNA from Apodemus sylvaticus (European woodmouse), 1755 nucleotides. RefSeq lists it as uncharacterized. Lineage: Eukaryota; Metazoa; Chordata; Mammalia; Rodentia; Muridae. The record is from RefSeq and is a predicted model, not a curated record. The transcript has 2 exons.